Molecule: long non-coding RNA, 1027 nt
Filed under: Salvia miltiorrhiza (redroot sage)
Lineage: Eukaryota; Viridiplantae; Streptophyta; Magnoliopsida; Lamiales; Lamiaceae
Description: long non-coding RNA (SMIL_LNC002768)
Source: RNAcentral
CAAUUAUAUAGGAGCCCAAAAUCAAUUAAAAGAAAGCCCAUACAAAACAAAACAAAACAAAAUCAAAGCCCAUCUCUAUCUCUCUCACUAUCGGUCUCUCUCUCCUCACAAUUUCAGAUCUCUCUCUCUUCAAAGAAACGCACACACACAGACGCACAUCAUUCUCUCACGCCAUCUGCCGCUGCCGCCUGAGACCGGCGAAGGAUCCAGCGCAACCGCCGGCGACAGAUGUUGCUGUUGCCGCUGCUGUCUGAGAUCGGCGGUCAAAACGCCUGCUGGAGGAACGCCGUCGUCGUUAGCUCGUCCGAAGUCGCCGCCAACUGCCGCUGCUGUUUCGCCGGAGUCGUGGCCUGGAGCUGCUGCAGCUCGUCCGGUGGUUAGUGGCUCGCUGGAGGAGCGCCGCCGCCGGCCCUUCUUCAAUAUCGAUCGGCUCCUCCUUCUUUCUUCCUCACGCAGAUCUCAGUCGAGUCCCACUCUGGGAAUCAUCGCCGCUGCUGUCACGCCCGUCUGGAAUCCAGCGACUCAGUCGGCGUCUGGGAGCGGCGCCGUCCAACUCCCAUCUUGAUAUCCCUCUCCGACGUCGAGCCUUAGGUUUCAAAAAGGGCAGAACGCCGUUGCCGUGCGUCCGCUGCUGGUGCGCUCGAGCCCCUGCUCGACCAUGGUUCAGGUCGGCUGCUGCUGUGCGAUUUCCGGCGAAGGGUGUCGCCUCGCCUCCUCCUCGGAGCCGUUCAGUCCUCCUCCCUCUCAGAAGCUAAGUUCCCUACUCUCACUUUACAACUACUGCGUAUGAAUUUUCUGAGGUAUCUUAAUGUACAUGGUUUAUCAGUUGUGAGAUGGUAAAGCUAUGGUGUGAAGGUCAAAAUCUGUUAAAUGCUAUAUGUUGCUGGUUCUUCAUGCUGCUAUGUUCAUUCUCACAUAUUGGUUUUGUUUGUCUAUCAUGCUUGGAUGCAGAAAAUGUGUGAUGGAAUACAGUAUAUGGGGCUAGGUAAAUACCUUAAAAUGUGUAGUUGGCUAUUGUGGUUGAGCU